This 865-nucleotide ribosomal RNA is filed under the name Paludomus siamensis. Its description in RNAcentral is "partial large subunit ribosomal RNA". The stretch from base 332 to 581 matches the Rfam family "Archaeal large subunit ribosomal RNA", at positions 1787 to 2143 of the family's 2987-position model. Lineage: Eukaryota; Metazoa; Mollusca; Gastropoda; Paludomidae. The record is from RNAcentral.
AAAAAAAUAUAAAAGUAUUUUAAUAAAUAUUUUAUCGGCUAUAUUUAAGGCUGUAAAUAUAUUUUAUUUUUCAAAUCUAAAAGGAUAAGCUUUUAGAUUUAAGAUAAUUAAGAUCUAUAGUAUCAAAUAUAAAGUUAUGUGGGCUUAGAAUUAGUCAUUAUUAAAGUUUGUUAUAAGAUAUCUUUUUAAAUAAUCAUAAAAUUUUUGUAUUUUUAUUCUAAUAAUCUAAUGAAGAUAACAAUUUCAAUUAAAGUAAAUUUUUUGCCUAUGCUAAAAUGAGUAUUAUAUUAACUUUUAAAUAAUUUAUAUAAUUAUCUUUAUUAAUGUUAAAAGCACCAAUUAGGAAAAAGGAACUCGGCAAAAUUUGUUUCGCCUGUUUAUCAAAAACAUGGCUCUUUGUAUAAUAUAAAAUAAAGAGUCUAACCUGCCCAGUGAAAUUUUUAACGGCCGCGGUACUCUGACCGUGCAAAGGUAGCAUAAUCAUUUGCCUUAUAAUUAAAGGCUAGUAUGAAUGGUUUGACGAAAACAAAACUGUCUCUUUCCUAAUAUCUAAAAACUAACCUAUAGGUGAAGAGGCCUAUAUAAAAUUAAAGGACAAGAAGACCCUAUCGAGCUUAAAAGAUAUUAUAGAAAUAAAAUACCUAUUGGAAUAUAUAAUUCAUUAAGCUUUUUAGUUGGGGCGACUGAGGAACAAAUAAAGCUUCUUUUUUUGUAUAUAACAUAUAAGUUCAGAUCCAAUAUAUUCAUUGAUCAAAAAAAUUAGUUACCGUAGGGAUAACAGCAUAAUCUCUCUUAAGAGAUCUAAUCGAAAGAGGGGAUUGUGACCUCGAUGUUGGAUUAGAGUAUCCUCAAGAUGCAGAUGUCU